This 81-nucleotide transfer RNA is filed under the name Bacteroidales bacterium. RNAcentral describes it as "tRNA-Leu". It matches the Rfam family "tRNA". From Rfam's summary of the family: Transfer RNA (tRNA) molecules are approximately 80 nucleotides in length. Their secondary structure includes four short double-helical elements and three loops (D, anti-codon, and T loops). Further hydrogen bonds mediate the characteristic L-shaped molecular structure. tRNAs have two regions of fundamental functional importance: the anti-codon, which is responsible for specific mRNA codon recognition, and the 3' end, to which the tRNAs corresponding amino acid is attached (by aminoacyl-tRNA synthetases). tRNAs cope with the degeneracy of the genetic code in two manners: having more than one tRNA (with a specific anti-codon) for a particular amino acid; and 'wobble' base-pairing, i.e. permitting non-standard base-pairing at the 3rd anti-codon position. Lineage: Bacteria; Pseudomonadati; Bacteroidota; Bacteroidia; Bacteroidales. The record is from RNAcentral.
GCGCAUGUGGCGUAAUGGUAGCCGCGUUAGACUUAGGAUCUAAUGUCUUAGGACGUGGGGGUUCGAGUCCCUUCAUGCGCA